Non-coding RNA from Anas platyrhynchos (mallard), 596 nucleotides. NCBI's taxonomy places the organism in Eukaryota, Metazoa, Chordata, Aves, Anseriformes, Anatidae. The record is from RefSeq and is a predicted model, not a curated record.
UUGAAGUUUAGUUUUGUAAAUUCACCAGCUGUUAUGCAUGGCUGAUAUAGGCACAUAUGUGCGGAAACACACAUAGGUUGGACACAUGCAUGUGUGCACGUCUGCACCUUGGCAGUCACUUCCUGUGGGUAGUGGGAAAAUCUUCCAUAUAAACUGGACCCUAGUAGUCAAGUGUAUCACUCUAAGCUCUGUUAAAUGUUUUGCAUGACCACAAAAAUGCACAGCCAAGAAAAUAUGCAGCUUCUUUCAUGUAAGUGUUUUUAUCUCUUCCUUUACUUUUUUUCCUUGCUGCAACCCAAAAGCAAACUGAAUUUAUCAAGUACAAAAAGUGCCUAAGGAUAAACAGCUAUAGAAAUAACAGAAAUCUUCAGUAGAGACCACUCAGUGAAAUAAACAAGUGAAUGCUGAUGUCUGAAGAACCUGUUUCCACACAAAUAGUGAAAUCUUGUAUGCAGUCAAUUAGUGUACUAAAAUAUCUGUUGGACUAAAGCAGCUAGAUGCCCAAGACUCAACGUUGUGGCCAAUCCAUGCAGUAAAUGCAUAAAGUAUUAGCAUAUAUUAGCAUCCUGGAUUAAAUUGGUGACUUUGGAAAUAAA